UGCUUGUGCUGAAGCUGCCAUGUGGUC
RNAcentral lists this non-coding RNA (27 nucleotides) under Homo sapiens (human). The record is from RNAcentral. Lineage: Eukaryota; Metazoa; Chordata; Mammalia; Primates; Hominidae.